UACGUAGGGUGCAAGCGUUAAUCGGAAUUACUGGGCGUAAAGCGUGCGCAGGCGGUUAUGUAAGACAGAUGUGAAAUGCCCGGGCUUAACCUGGGAACUGCAUUUGUGACUGCAUGGCUAGAGUUUGGCAGAGGGGGGUAGAAUUCCACGUGUAGCAGUGAAAUACGUAGAUAUGUGGAGGAACACCGAUGGCGAAGGCAGCCCCCUGGGUCAAGACUGACGCUCAUGCACGAAAGCGUGGGGAGCAAACAGG
RNAcentral lists this ribosomal RNA (253 nucleotides) under uncultured bacterium. RNAcentral's name for it is "partial 16S ribosomal RNA". It matches the Rfam family "Bacterial small subunit ribosomal RNA", at positions 524 to 776 of the family's 1533-position model. The record is from RNAcentral.